RNAcentral lists this ribosomal RNA (389 nucleotides) under uncultured bacterium. RNAcentral describes it as "bacterial SSU rRNA". It matches the Rfam family "Bacterial small subunit ribosomal RNA", at positions 29 to 408 of the family's 1533-position model. The record is from RNAcentral.
AACGAACGCUGGCGGCGCGCCUAAUACAUGCAAGUCGAGCGAGAAGACGUAGCAAUACGUUUGUAAAGCGGCGAACGGGUGAGGAACACAUGGGUAACCUACCCUAGAGUGGGGAAUAACUAGCCGAAAGGUUAGCUAAUACCGCGUACGCUCCUUGGACUUCGGUACAGGGAGGAAAGCGAUACCGUGGGUAUCGCGCUCUUGGAUGGGCUCAUGUCCUAUCAGCUUGUUGGUGAGGAACGGCUCACCAAGGCUUCGACGGGUAGCUGGUCUGAGAGGACGAUCAGCCACACUGGCACUGCGACACGGGCCAGACUCCUACGGGAGGCAGCAGUAAGGAAUAUUGCGCAAUGGGCGAAAGCCUGACGCAGCGACGCCGCGGUGGGGGA